ACCUGCCAAUCAUGCUAACUACUCGGGCUUGGCUGACUGGCCUCCCCGAGUACACCACCAACAACUGGGUCGAGUUGAAGGCUCAGUU
Molecule: small nucleolar RNA, 88 nt
Filed under: Oryza punctata
Lineage: Eukaryota; Viridiplantae; Streptophyta; Magnoliopsida; Poales; Poaceae
Description: snoRNA snoZ256
Rfam family: Small nucleolar RNA Z256
About the family: Z256 is a member of the C/D class of snoRNA which contain the C (UGAUGA) and D (CUGA) box motifs.
Source: Rfam by way of RNAcentral